This 444-nucleotide long non-coding RNA is filed under the name Helianthus annuus (common sunflower). RNAcentral's name for it is "hypothetical non coding rna". The record is from RNAcentral. Lineage: Eukaryota; Viridiplantae; Streptophyta; Magnoliopsida; Asterales; Asteraceae.
GCUUUCAAUUGCUUCUUUAGCUGCCUAAUACUUAAAUCAUUCAAGCUCUCUUUCUUUCUAAUUUUUCCUUCAUCCACUUUGUUCUCUUUGUCAUCUGAAACAACGUUAAACGUGUUCUCGGAUGGGUGUUGGGUCAGGCCAGAGCCCGCAUCAGUGUUUUCCGUAAAGAACUCAGGCUUCUUAUCUUCAACUUCCUCAGACAUUUCAACUUCCUCAGUCAUUUUCUUAAAGGGUGUAGCUUUCUUGAAUGGUGUCGGGUGGCCCGUAACUUCACUUAAGAUUGAUGGGUUUUGAGUUGGGCCGGAAUCCUCAGUCACAUUGUCUUCAACUUCCUCGGUAAUGGAAUGGCCAUCAAUGGUGGAAAUUGCAUCAACUUAUUUUCAGACAUUUCUUCCGGCUCCUUUGUGGUUAGUUCAUCGAUCUGGUUCUCAGAGUUAUCAAUGA